CCCUUAGAUGUUCUGGGCGGCCCGCGCACUACACUGGCACUCUCAAUCAGAGCCUAAAUCUAAAACUUUGUGGUAUUCUAUGAAGAGGUGUCGUGACUGGGAUUAACCCUUGCAAUUAUUGGUUACGAACGAGGAAUUCCCAGUAAGUGUGGGUCAUAAGCUCGCGUUGAUUACGUCCCUGCCCUUUGUACACACCGCCCGUCGCACCUACCGAUUGAAUGGUCCGGUGAAAUCUUGGGAGUCCCAGUGAUGUCUGCUUGCGGACUCGCAGGGGUGAACUUGAUUAAACCUUACCAUUUAGAGGAAGGUGAANUCGUANCA
This 321-nucleotide ribosomal RNA is filed under the name uncultured eukaryote. Its description in RNAcentral is "partial 18S ribosomal RNA". It matches the Rfam family "Eukaryotic small subunit ribosomal RNA", at positions 1470 to 1796 of the family's 1831-position model. The record is from RNAcentral.